GAUGAACGCUGGCGGCGUGCCUAAUACAUGCAAGUCGAGCGAACAGAUGAGAAGCUUGCUUCUCUGAUGUUAGCGGCGGACGGGUGAGUAACACGUGGGUAACCUACCUAUAAGACUGGGAUAACUCCGGGAAACCGGGGCUAAUACCGGAUAAUAUUUUGAACCGCAUGGUUCAAUAGUGAAAGACGGUUUCGGCUGUCACUUAUAGAUGGACCCGCGCCGUAUUAGCUAGUUGGUAAGGUAACGGCUUACCAAGGCGACGAUACGUAGCCGACCUGAGAGGGUGAUCGGACACACUGGAACGGGGACACGGUCCAGACUCCUACGGGAGGCAGCAGUAGGGAAUCUUCCGCAAUGGGCGAAAGCCUGACGGAGCAACGCCGCGUGAGUGAUGAAGGUCUUCGGAUCGUAAAACUCUGUUGUUAGGGAAGAACAAAUUUGUUAGUAACUGAACAAGUCUUGACGGUACCUAACCAGAAAGCCACGGCUAACUACGUGCCAGCAGCCGCCGUAA
Molecule: ribosomal RNA, 514 nt
Filed under: uncultured bacterium
Lineage: Bacteria
Description: partial 16S ribosomal RNA
Rfam family: Bacterial small subunit ribosomal RNA
Source: RNAcentral